This 815-nucleotide long non-coding RNA is filed under the name Homo sapiens (human). RNAcentral's name for it is "HSALNT0020401". Lineage: Eukaryota; Metazoa; Chordata; Mammalia; Primates; Hominidae. The record is from RNAcentral.
AGCACUGGCCUGGUAGGAAACACUGGAAAAGGUCAUCCAGCAGCUUAAGGAGGCUGGGAGAGAAGAGUUGGAGAAGGAAGAAGAGUUGGGGAGGAGGCUGGAGACACAGAGGACCUGUUCCUCCCUCCUGCUUUCCUUUUCCUUCCUGGAUUGGCCAACCUCUAGCUGACGCUUGGGGGAGGAGGAGGAAAGGGAGGUCUUCUGUGGGGCCAUUUGGUCCAGAGCAGGAGAAGCUGGCAUGGAGGAGGACAGGGUAGAGGAAGUACCACCAAGGACAGCAGGCUUAGGAUUCUUCCUUCCCUGCACCUCCCCUUCCCCACCCAGCACUCAUCCAGACCUGGAUCCUAUGGAAAUCACAGUUUUGUUCUCAACUGACAACCUUGUCUUCUUAAUGAGUGAAGAGUUCUCCCCGCAACUCUCUGCACCCACCCCCGCCAGGUUCUGUCUUACCCUACAUCUCACCACACCUGACUCUGCUAAGUAAAAGGAUAAAACCAGGAGCACAGCCAUGCCAGUCUCCUGUGGCUCUGUCCCCUCCACCUUCCUCCCGUGGCCCCAUCCAGGAAAUCGGCCCACAAGAGAGGCCGACGCUGCUUCUGACCAGAGCUACCGAGCGCCUCUCUGGAGACAAUGGCUCAGAGAGAAGGAGGAAGACUAGCAGCUCCAGCUUUGUGCUCAGGGUGGCCACACAAAACCAUUGUCUUGACAUCAGGACAGACAAUGGUUUGUAUCUCUGGCUUCUGCGCUGAGCAGUUCACUCCCUUGGACUAAGAUAAUUUUAAAGAUUUCCUUCUAAUAAAUAGUAAUGAUACUGG